CUGGUGGGCGCUGGGAAGGCGCGGAGAAGGGAAGAAACCCACUGAGGGGCAAGAAGCUCCUCGGUGAUCUCAGCUAGAGGAAAACGAGGGCUAAGUAAUCUGGGCCAUUGGGCGUUACUGCGCUGUCCCGGCUGGCUUCUGAAUCCUGGGAGCAUUCUUUUUUAUAAAAGGAGUCAGACACCGUGAACUCUCCCCAGAAAAACUUCUGGCUAAAAAUGAUCCACAAAAGGAAAAUGAGUUGGUUUUUAACUGGAUGAAAACAAACACAAAUUCACUUUACUUUUGGAUCCUUUUUGCUGCGUUACAAACCACCUCAAAGUGCUGAGAACCAGGUAGAAGAAUGGAGGAGGAAGGGUUCUCCUGGCAGAGAGAGCGGCAGAUCCUCAUUCACACUGAGGUGUUGAUGACUGGUUGCUGUCCAACACAGCCAUUCUCAUUAGAGUGUGAGCCUAUAGGGAUAUAAUGAUACAGCAUUAAAGCCGGGGCCUUCUUCAAAUUGCCUUGUGAGUGAGUUGAGCUUAUAUGGUUGUUUUUGUUUUCUUUUUAAUGUUACCCAAAAAUACAUUUUUAAUAAGCUUACCAAAUCUAUAGUGGAAGUGAGGAAGA
This is a long non-coding RNA of Cercocebus atys (sooty mangabey), 606 nucleotides long. RefSeq lists it as uncharacterized. The record is from RefSeq and is a predicted model, not a curated record. NCBI's taxonomy places the organism in Eukaryota, Metazoa, Chordata, Mammalia, Primates, Cercopithecidae. The transcript is spliced from 4 exons.